This is a non-coding RNA of Triticum aestivum (bread wheat), 125 nucleotides long. NCBI's taxonomy places the organism in Eukaryota, Viridiplantae, Streptophyta, Magnoliopsida, Poales, Poaceae. The record is from Rfam.
CAUCUACUCCCUCCGUCUGAAAAUACUCGUCGGGGAAAUAUGUAAAAAUGGAUGUAUCUAGAACUAAAAUGCGUUUAUAUACAUCCAUUUCUCCGACAAGUAUUUCCGGACGGAGGGAGUACAUG